Long non-coding RNA from Astatotilapia calliptera (eastern happy), 1155 nucleotides. NCBI's taxonomy places the organism in Eukaryota, Metazoa, Chordata, Actinopteri, Cichliformes, Cichlidae. The record is from Ensembl.
CUGGUAUUUCUUCAGUCUUCACUCUUCCGAAAGGUUGGAAAGACGAUUGGCUGCUGACACAUUUAUAGGAUGUGGGCUGCAGAGUGCUGCUAGCUCCUUGCCUGCUAACACUGAGUGGUAGAGCCAGGAGCUAGUGACUGACACCUACAUGCAUGAUCAAGUGUCUGUAAUUUUAGUUUUGAACAAAAAGGCGAGUGAGCGCAGGAUUUCAUAUAUUUCCUUUUGCUCAACAGAGCAGUUAGGCUUUUAUUCUUUCUUUAUUCUUUGUGUUGAUCCAUAUUAGUUGUUACCACAGCAACAACUAUUCUGCCUGUUGUCCAGAGAUAGGCUUUGGUGGGUCAACUAGUUUUCACCUUGGCUUUGUUUUUUGUUUGUUUGAAUAACCACCAUCCACCCUAGAGUCCUAUUUUUGUUUUUGUUUUUUUACGUGGAAUCCAUUUUUUCUUGGUGGCCAGGCCUUAGUCCAUGAAGCCCGGCUGGGCACAGCCCGAAAAAGGGACAGGAGCCCAUCUCCCUGCAUGCCCACCACCCACAGGAGGCACCGUAGGGGUCGGGUGCAAUGUGAGUCGGGCGGCGGCCAGGAGCAGAGACCCUGGCAGACCGAUCCCUGGCUACCAAGACUGGCAAUUGGGACAUGGAAUGUCACCUCUCUGGUGAGGAAGGAGCCUGUGCUACUGCGUGAGGUUGAGAGGUACCGGCUAGAUAUAGUCGGGCUCAUCUCAACGCAUGGCUUGGGCUCUGGAACCAGUCUCCUGAAGAGGAGCUGGACUCUGUCUCAAUCUGGAGUUGCCCCUGGUGAGAGGCGUCGGGCUGGGGUGGGUAUCUUGGUAUCCGCUCGGCUUGCUGCUGGUAUGUUGGGGUUUCUCCCAGUGGAGGGUUUGUUCCCUUCGCCUUCGGGUCAGGGAACGGGUCCUGACUGUUGUCUAUGCUUAUGCGCCGAGGGGCAGUUCAGAGUACUCGGCCUUCUUGGAGUCCCUGGGUGGAGCACUUGAGGGUGCUCCUCCUGGGGACUCUGUUGUCCUACUGGGAGACUUCAACGCUCACGUGGGCAAUGACAGUGAGACCUGGAAGGGCAUGAUUGGGAGGAACGGCCUCCCGGAUCUGAUCCCGAGCUGUGUUUUGUUAUUGGACUUCUGUGCAAACCACAGUUUGGCC